UGGAGAAAAGCAGGGGAUCGCAAGACCUUGCGCUUUUGGAGCGGCCGAUGUCUGAUUAGCUAGUUGGUAGGGUAAAGGCUUACCAAGGCAACGAUCAGUAGUUGGUCUGAGAGGAUGACCAGCCACACUGGGACUGAGACACGGCCCAGACUCCUACGGGAGGCAGCAGUGGGGAAUUUUGGACAAUGGGCGAAAGCCUGAUCCAGCCAUGCCGCGUGAGUGAAGAAGGCCUUCGGGUUGUAAAGCUCUUUCAGUCGAGAAGAAAAAAUUGCGACUAAUAAUCGCAAUUCAUGACGGUAUCGACAGAAGAAGCACCGGCUAACUACGUGCCAGCAGCCGCGGUAAUACGUAGGGUGCAAGCGUUAAUCGGAAUUACUGGGCGUAAAGGGUGCGCAGGCGGCCUUGUAAGUCAGAUGUGA
This 419-nucleotide ribosomal RNA is filed under the name uncultured ammonia-oxidizing beta proteobacterium. RNAcentral's name for it is "bacterial SSU rRNA". It matches the Rfam family "Bacterial small subunit ribosomal RNA", at positions 197 to 597 of the family's 1533-position model. The record is from RNAcentral. Lineage: Bacteria; Pseudomonadati; Pseudomonadota; Betaproteobacteria.